Molecule: long non-coding RNA, 568 nt
Organism: Chenopodium quinoa (quinoa)
Lineage: Eukaryota; Viridiplantae; Streptophyta; Magnoliopsida; Caryophyllales; Amaranthaceae
Exons: 2
Source: RefSeq, a predicted model, not a curated record
GGUUCUUCAAAACCGGUGGCAAAAACAUGGGUUAAAGUAGGCGGGUUUUUUAGAAGAGGUUUUUGGCACCGGUUUGAACCGAACCUUUGCCAAAAACCUUUUUUUUUAAAAAAAAUCCCUUAUAUAUUUCCCUAAACCCUACCCUCCCUCAUACUCGGCCUCCUUCCUCUCUUCUCUCUCCUGAUCUCCUCUAGCCUCCUCUCUGCUCUCUCCUCUCCUCUCCUCUCUUCUCUCUCCUCUCUCCUCUCCCUAAAAAAAACCCCCUUGUUCACCUAAACACCACCGAAGACGACCACCAACACCACCACCAAGUCCAAUACUCAAGACCACGAACAACAACGAAUCUAAUCAAGAUGGGUACAUCAAUUUAGAUCUUAAAUUGAAGAAUCAAGAUUCAAGAAUAUUGAUUUAGAUGUGUAGGGUUUUUUUAUUUAUAUUCUAAUUUUUUUUAUUUACGAGUAUAUUGUAAUUUUUUAUUUAUAAUGUAAAUUUUUUUAUUUAUUUAUAUGUUGUAAUUGAUUGUAAUUUUUUUUUUUGAUUAUGUAUUGUAAAAUUUGGAUUAUAUUGA